GACGAAGGUGGCUAGCGUUAUUCGGGUUCACUGGGCAUAAAGCGCGCGUAGGCGGCUCUUCAAGUCGGAGGUGAAAGCCCGCAGCUUAACUGCGGAACUGCCCUCGAUACUGUCGAGCUUGAGUGCAGGAGGGGUGAUCGGAACUCCAGGUGUAGCGGUGAAAUGCGUAGAUAUCUGGAGGAACACCGGAGGCGAAGGCGGAUCACUGGACUGCCACUGACGCUGAGGCGCGAAAGCUAGGGGAGCAAACAGG
RNAcentral lists this ribosomal RNA (253 nucleotides) under uncultured bacterium. RNAcentral describes it as "partial 16S ribosomal RNA". It matches the Rfam family "Bacterial small subunit ribosomal RNA", at positions 524 to 776 of the family's 1533-position model. The record is from RNAcentral.